This 492-nucleotide ribosomal RNA is filed under the name uncultured bacterium. RNAcentral describes it as "partial 16S ribosomal RNA". It matches the Rfam family "Bacterial small subunit ribosomal RNA", at positions 29 to 507 of the family's 1533-position model. The record is from RNAcentral.
AGUGAACGCUGGCGGUAGGCCUAACACAUGCAAGUCGAACGGCAGCACAGUAAGAGCUUGCUCUUACGGGUGGCGAGUGGCGGACGGGUGAGGAAUACAUCGGAAUCUACUUUUUCGUGGGGGAUAACGUAGGGAAACUUACGCUAAUACCGCAUACGACCUACGGGUGAAAGCAGGGGAUCUUCGGACCUUGCGCGAUUGAAUGAGCCGAUGUCGGAUUAGCUAGUUGGCGGGGUAAAGGCCCACCAAGGCGACGAUCCGUAGCUGGUCUGAGAGGAUGAUCAGCCUCACUGGAACUGAGACACGGUCCAGACUCCUACGGGAGGCAGCAGUGGGGAAUAUUGGACAAUGGGCGCAAGCCUGAUCCAGCCAUACCGCGUGGGUGAAGAAGGCCUUCGGGUUGUAAAGCCCUUUUGUUGGGAAAGAAAAGCAGCAGGUUAAUACCCCGCUGUUCUGACGGUACCCAAAGAAUAAGCACCGGCCAACUUCGUG